AGACAUUGACAGUCUUGUCAAUGUUCCCAGUAAAUUAAUGUGAAGGUCCUUAGGAAGAGACGGAAAACACCCCUUGCCAUUAAUCUUAAACCACUUGAAGAUUAUGAUUAAAAGAAUGGGAUCACUAAGCAUUACCAUCUCAAGUAGCUGUUAACUGCCCCCAUCCCUUUAUUGUGGCAACAAAAUAAACUCUUCACUAAGAAUGAUGUUUCUUCCUUUUUUAUCUUUGUUUUUGUUUUGCUUUAAGGGCAAAGAAGGGAAAACAGAAGCAAAGAAAACUGUUUCGAAAGUCUUGGAAUUGCUACUGUUAAAAGGCUGCGGUUCAUUUCUGAUUUCCUCAUCUUUUGCUACAAAGGAAAAAGAAAUCCAAUGAUGUGUCUACGUUUGAUGAGAAGAAAACACGAACAACAGCAGCGUAGGUUCGAAAGUCAUUGUGCAGAGAGGGCAGGAGUGAAUUAAGGCCCCGGGGACCGCGGACGCCGGGCCAGGAGACCGCCUGAAAUAUGAGCCGAACCUGUUUUGUGAGAUGCACUUGGGUUUGGGGGUCAGGGUCGAAGGCUUCAAAGCCCUUGGUCUGCACGUGUGAAAAAUCUCUGUCUUCCUCCCUCCCUCCUGCUCCUCCUCUUCCUCUCUUUCUCCCUGUUCCGCUUUCUCCUCACCUUUCCCAGAAUUGAUGCUAAUUUCCUCUCCCCCUCCUCUAUUUUGCUUGUCUUUGUGUAUUUCAUGCUGAUCCAUUUAGUACAAAGUAUUUCUCUUAAACACACACAUAAGAGACUGUGUGUGGGGGCUGACUGUGUCAGCCCAAUCACCUUUUGAAACCCAAGAGAAUUGGGAUGUUGAAGAUAGUGAGGACACUGUGUACACACAUAGACAAUGUAUUGUGAGGGUUAUUUCUAUGCCAGUAAUGAGCCAGUCCCGGUCACUGUGCAAAAGUUUUAGCUUUAACACAAGUUAUCAUUCACAAUAUUUAUUUGGCAUUGUCCAAAGUCUUCUCAACUUCAUUUGUUCAAACUCUUCUCAGCUUCAAACUCUCCGCUUUGCCAGGUGAACACAAUCUCAAGCAGGCGUGAUGUUUAAAAAAUAAAAAUAUCACAACUCAUAAUUUCCCUUCUUACAGAAAAGCCAAAUCGAUGCAAAAAAAAAAGCCCUUCAUUCUCACCUGGACGAAAGAGUUGGAGAGAGGGCAGGCCGCCCGGCCAGAGGAGUGGGCACUGGCAGCUGAGCUGGUACUCUAGAGUCCAGCACCCUGAGCCCACCUCUCUAGGGUGAACCUCCGCCCGGCCACUCCAGCCCCCCUCUUCCGGACAGCCCCUCUCCCCGGUGCUGGAGAACAAAGAAAGUUCUUGGGAUUGAGGCACAAAAAGGGUUAAAUGAACCCCAAGCUGUAAGUGUGUCUAUUCCAGACCCCUAGGUGAGGCGACAGUAGCUGGGUCUGAUGCGCGUCUCUGAGCUCCACAAACUGACUUGGUCUAGGGUUCCUUAGCUUUGUACACCCUCUUUCUCACUCACCCCAUUACACACACACACACACAGACACACACACACACACACACACACACGCAUGCGGUGACCUAGGCACGUGUGUCCACAAACAUCCACAAAGCUCUGUAAUUGCUGUCUCUUCUUCCCUGACCCGAUCCUAUCCCAGUCCUUCCUACCCCGCUGCCCUCGCCCGCCUCCACAGCAGCUGGACUCACACAAAAAAGGGAAGAACAUUAAAACAAGCAAAAAUCCAUUUGCAAACCCCUCUCAAAUCCCCCCGGCUGAGGAGGAGCACAGCUGGCUCCCCCGAGGCAGGAAGUUGGGGUGCAGCAGGCCAGGGAGCAGGGUUCCUCCCGGCUCUGGGCCUUGCAGUGCCACCUCUCACAGAGCGUGGGGGUUGGGUGAGGUGAAGGGGUGCUUUUCACUUUCCCCUCCCCCGCGCUCUUCGCGGGCUUUUGGGAAUGGAGUUAGGAAGAGAUCCCACGUCUUCAGGACCCCACGACUCUCAGGACCUGGAGAAGCAGCGUAGGGCGGGCGCCUCCGAGCUGCCACAGUGGGACUGCACCGGAACCCACGUCCGCCGGCGAGAAAGUCUGCACCGAGGACGGCCGCGUGGAACUCCUGCAGGGCUCAGCCCGCAGAACCCUUUAAAGACAGAGAAGCUCGCUGGGCAGUGCUCAGGCCCAGCCCAACCUAGCAGUCUAGCAUUUGGGUGGCACCAGGAUGGAGGGCUGCCUCUGGCUCCAAAAGCAGGUUUGGAAUGCAGGAGAAAGGGUUACUGUCAGAGCCAGUCUCUCUCCUCUCUCCUCUCUCAAGAGCCAGAUUUAGAAUGCAGGAGAAAGGGUGACACAGCCAGUCUCUCCCCUCUCCCCUCUCCCCCCACCCUCUCUCUCUCUUUCUCUCCCACUCCCCCUCUGCCAUUCCUAGAUCUCUCUUCCCACGCCUUCGGAGGACAUGCCUGCAGGAGCUGCUGCCUUGUUUUGGUGACCUGGGAGAUCAACAGCAAGGACCCAGAAACACCCACAAGCUCUAAGUGGGUCUAAUUUUGCUUUUGAAAAGUAGUAGGAGAGGAAAGAGACUUUAUUACCAAACCGUGAGUUUUCCAAGAUGAUCCCCCUCAGCCAAGCAAAGUUGAGAAGGGUUUGACAGAGGCUGAGGACAAGACAGUUCCCUCCUAGCCCCUUCCACACCCCUACAAGAAACCUGGACGGAGCUUCCCCACCAGCUGAGGACUCCUUGUCAAGGCGCCUUGGGGUCCCCACCUGUGCCACUUACCCAGAUCACCAGGGCCUCUAGGAUCUCAGACCAUUCUCAUCCCGGAAGUAGCUGACUAGAUGAGGUCAGGUCGGGGAAACACUAGGAGGCCCAGUCAGUUUUGCUUCUCUCUCAUUUACCCUCCUCUUUUAAAGGUCAGUGGAGGAAAGGAGUUUUUCUUUUUCUUUCUUUCUUCUUUUCUUUUCUUUUUCUUUCUUUUGCAGUAAAUCAAAUGUAUAAUUGCAUUCACAUAGAAUUAAGAAGUCAAACAUAUCUGUUCUGCAAAUGCACUUAGACAUGUUUAAAGAGGGACUGCCCUGAACAUAGUCAGUUUUUAAAGAAUGAAACAGUUAAAUAAAGCUUUAAAGAUAAAUGUGAAGAGUGCCCAGUAUCCCCUUCCACUGCCUUUACAUAAAUUAGGUGGGUCUCAGGAAUAUCUCAGGUGUCAAGAGUUCUUAAAGCUAACUAACCAAUACACAAAAAUAACAGAUAAUCACAUGUUUAAAGUAAGUUACCCUCACAGAAGUUAGAGGUGAACGCCUAACUGCAGAGUGAAGCUUUUCCUGCUUCUUUAUUUAUCCAGGUCUCUUAAUUUUAAAACAGAUUAAAUAAUCUGCUCAAAAGGGUUGACACUGCCCACCAAAACAGAGUGAAGACAGUUGUUCAUACUUUGAAGCUGAUCCAAGAGCCUUGGGAGUUUUUGAAUUUUUAAAUGAAGUGUAAAUAGAAUAAGGUCACAGGUUAUUGACAAGAUCAAGUUGCUUAACUCAAUUAUCAAAAUUUUAUUUCAAAAUUAUGUUCAAUUUGAUUCUCCUGCUUUGCUCUAAAAGAUCUUAGAAAAUCCAAUAGGAGCAGACAAUUUACAUUGUGUCCUAUGUACUGUGGCUUAUUUGUAAAAUUAUUUUGUGAUACACACACACACACACACACACCUUCUUUAAUGUUUUUGAGGAAACCAAGUCUUUCCAAUUAGAUUUAGGAACACAGCUAUCACACUAAUUCAAAGGCAGUUACUUUGAAGAUUCAAUGAUCAUCAAAUUUUAACAAUUUUCUAAAAUAUGUCUAAAUUUCUAAACUGCAAGCAGGACCUGCAGGCUGUUCAGAAUCCAAUUUUCUGGAUAUUGGGCAUGCUGUAUUCAAUGUCCAGCUAAAUUCAGUGUCCACCUAUCGAAAUGCUAGAUAAGAGUGCAAUUUGUAAAUAUAUAUCCUACAACUCAUUUCUAACAUCAUAUCUUAACAUUCUCCUAUGCAUUAUUUAAUAGAUAACCAAACUCUUUGGAUUAAGGCUCAUGCUGCCACAUCUGGAAAUGCUUCCUUUGCAUUACCCACCACCACCUCCUCACCCCGCCCCAGCCACCAGUGAGAGAAAUAGCUGAAGCCUCCCCUUCCACCAUUAUAUGAUAGCAUCAGCUUUUAAUCAGUGAGAGGCACUCCCAUUUAAAUUUACAGGAUGACUCUUUAUUUCAUUUAUCUUUUCUUUUGGAGGAAAGUGAAACAAGAGCACCACCCUUAUUAAUUAUAAGAUUGAUGGGGUGAAAAAAGCCAAAUGAAUUUGGCUUGCAAAUUCUUAGUCUAGGUAUGAAUAUUUAUGACUGUGCCAGGAACUGCAGUCAUGAACCCUGGGUAUCAGGCAUGGGAGACAGUCAGCCCAGUGCAUUCAACGAGGGUUCAGUCUCCCCAAAUCUGACAUGACAUAAAUGGAAACAUUGAAAUUAGACACAGGGUGGGCUCCCAUUAAAUCAAUUUAUUUUCUUUCUUUUUCUUUUCUUUUCUUUCUUUUUUUUUUUUUUGUGGCUAGUCUUGCUAAACAUGAACUUGCUUCCAGUAGCUUCCUUCAUAAGCUUUAAAAACCUUUUAAAGUGAAGGAAGACAUUUAUAGAUUUUGUGAAGAAAAUUUUUGUUUUCCCCACUUGAUAUUCACUUAUGUUUCAAAGCAAGUUUAUCUGCAAAAUAUUUGUGACAUGCAGUUAAAAUUUUUUAAACUAUUUUUAUUCCAUUUAAAAAUAUUGGAAACCUAAAAUAUCCCGGGUAUAGGAAGGAUUUAAAUAGACAUGAUUCAAGUUCAAUGCAGAGAGAAAUGAGAGGGAAAAGAAAACAGCAAUGGGAGAGAUGAAAAGACAAGUUUUCUAUUUAUUUGCUUGUUUUCCUUUUUAUGCACCAGACUUAUGCGUUUUCAUUCCAAAGUGAGGAAAUUUAAAUGAAGGUGGAGGCAGAAAGCAUCAAGGUAGAAAGGAAAGGGUCAAAACAAGGAUUUAAUAAUUUGAAGACAAACUAUAUUCUCUUCUUUUCCUCCUCGUGAUUAUACAUUUAAGAGUUUUGUAGUGCUUUGGAAAAGAUGCUGGGGGUUUGAGAUUUAACGAGCUCAAAUACUGCCUCAUCACCGGUUUCUUUUCUGUAAAAGAAAUGUUGAGUGGGAGCUGACCCAAUCCUGUGAAAAUGGUUCAUUCUGACAUCAGAGCCAGCUUCGCACAUACAUUUUGAAAAGGAAGACAAGUUGUUUUCAAAACAGAAAUGCUAAGCAUUCUAAAAAGCAUAAGCAAUUUAAAAAAUGCUCCUCAAAUUUCCUGAAAAACUCCCAACGACAUAUAUAUAUAUUUCACAAUUGUAAGUGGAUAUUUGUGCUAAAUUGAUGCUUUAUGUAUAUCCUGUCUCAAUUUGUCUGUUCACUGUAAAGAUAUAAUUUUUUUAAGAAGCGAUACCACUGACAACAAUUUACUUAAAUUCACAAACCUUAAAAUUGAUGCCGCUCCUAUCAAUCACAUUCAGUAGAUACAGUAAAACACAUUCAACAUUUGUAUAUCAAUAGUGGCACAGACACAAAUCUGUUUUGUUCAAUUUGAAUGCUCUUCAACAUGUCAUUUCAUAUUUUUCUGGAACAUGUUAUGGGUUAGUCAUCCUGUUUCAGCUGAUUGUUAAAUCCUUAACCUAAUGAAAAUUCAAAAUAGAACAUUUACUUGUCAUGAGUUUCAGAGCUGAAUGGUGGACUUUAGGAACAAUUUGGACAACUUCUCUUACCAUUCCAGCGAAGAAUUGGAGGCCUAGUGAUGGCAACUGACCAGUCCAAUUCAUAAAACUAGUUAGCUCUAGUUUCUGACAAGAUCCCAAAGCUUUUAACUUAGGGCCAAUUUUUCUUAUUAUAUGGUGCUUUCCCAUUUUCUACCCUCUAUAAUCAAGUAGUAUUUAUAAUACUAUAUGCAGACUUUUUUACUAUUAUUUUUCCUUCCAGCACAUUGAUAAUGAAAUUUUUAUUAAAUAACAAGAAGAGAGGGAUGGGUCUGUCUGCUGAUAUGAAGAUCUGUUUUUGAUCUGUGAUGCUGUUUUAAUUAGGCAAAAACGAGAUCUAUCCUCUACCUGCAGGAUAAAUAGAUGCCAGUAUUGGCACAAAAACAAACUUUGUAUUUAUAGAAAUACCAAACUUCUCUAUUUAUUGGUUACAGUCAGCUCAGUCAAUCAAGCUAAAACCAGAUAUAAAUAGAAAUAACUGAGAAAGAUAAUUCAAAAUCUCUGAAGAAUGUUCACCAGGAAUAUUUAAAAGGAUACCAGAGUUCCUUGACUUCAACACUAAUAGCUGGCUUCUAGGUAACCUUCCCACCUGGCUCUUCUCUUCACCCCAAAUUGAAUCCUACACAUGCUCCAUAUUUUUUAUAUUAAGAAGUCCUAUUCAUGCCUGAAAUGAUCUUAUGUUUAUGAUGGCCCCUUCUGUCAAAUUGUUAUUUCUGUAGCCUGCUGUCAGAAGCGUCACUCAAAGUUUCCUUUCUACCUCUCUUUACCCUCUGUUAUAGUAACUUAGAAGGUCUAAUCCAAGUAGAACCUACUUCACCUAUAAAAUGAAACUAGAACUUUUUUCAUUUCCUGUCACCUACCUCUCUCCCUAACCAUCGCCCUGCACCCCCCAAGCUUUAUCUUGAUUCUGUUUGAGGCUGUUCACUGUUUCUCCUUGUGGUAAAAUUUUUCAUCCAAGCUGUUUCUCUUAAGUUUCGAGUACCUAAUUUUUGUGAGAAAAUGCAUGUAUAAAUAUUUUGGGCAUGUUUUCUGAAUCUGUGCUACUUAGGUUAAUACUCAGGCAAGAAAGAAAACAACAGUGAAAGUAAAAGACCCUCCAAUUACAGAAAGUUCUGGAGCAAAAAAUAGCAGAUACUUGAUUUUUUUAAAUAUAAAAAAUAAUAUAUCAAACUUGUUGAUGCUUAAAACUUUUUUUCUUUCUCAGUGGUCUCCUCUCUGCUAUGUUUCCAUUUCAUGAUUUUUGUAUGAAUAUGAUAAAUGGUCAUUAAGUCUAACCAGUUUUAUUUAAUGUUCAUAAAAACUGGUAGGUUUUCAAACAGAUGUGGCCUGAUAUGGUUCAGUGAAUUUAGUGGACUUCUCGUAUAAGUGAAAUAAUAACCAUACGGAAGAUGAAUUUUAUACCCUUGUUUACCUCUUCCAGACUCACCCUUAUUAUAAUUACAAAUAGUGUUUAUUAUGUAUUAUGCAAUAUACAUACCAUUGUCCAGAGACCGCACAAAACUUUAACUUAAUCACUGCCAUCUAGAGUUUAUAAUCCAAGAGCACCAAUGCCAAAAACUACAGGGAAACACGGACACAUAGAAAGGGCACCAUGAUAAAUAUAUCUUUUUUUAAUAAAAAAAAAAGCAAAUAUAAUGGAGCCUAGCUUAUGAAUGAACACAUUUUUAUCUUUUCAUUUAAAUAUUUUUUUCAGAUCCAAGCAGGUGGUUGGGAAAGAGAGAAUAAUUUAUUGCAUUUAUUUUCUAUCAACUAGGGAUGACUUUGGACAACAGCUCUUCCCCUUUUAACAUUUUUAAGAGACUGGCAAAGAGAAGAAGGUGGCAACCAGAGCUGCCUCAGUGGAGGGAGUACACACAGGUUUAAAUAAUGAAGGCAGGAGACAUCCCUUUACAGUCAGACUGCCUGGAUCUCAAUGCUGGCUCUGCCUCUCAUCAGCUAGACGACCCUAGGCAAACUCAUACUUCCAAACUUCUCAUGGGGCUUUCACAUGCUCACCAAAGGAAUUAACGAAUGAAGAAAUUUAUCCUAGUACUUGGCUCAUGGUGAGCAGCCAAUAAAUACCAGUUAUUAUUGUUAGUGGGAUAGUUAUCAUCCUAUACCAUCCCUACCCCCAAGCUUAGACAGGACCUCAUGUAAACAAUGCAUAAAAUUUUAACAUCUUCUUUUUUUAUUAAUCAUAUAAGAAUUCAACACUUCUGUUAGUAUAGAUUCUCCUUUUGUUCUAUAUCACGUAGGUCACUUCAAUUGCUUAUAUAUUUGCAUCUGUAUAGUUAUCAUUUAAUAUUCCAUGUUUUAAAAAGACCCACACAGCAUACAUUUUUAUGGGCAAGUCAUUGAAUAAAUAGCUUACUCAAUGGGUUUGUUGGUUUAUUAGGUAAUGGGAAGACCACUAGGCUGAGAGCCAGGAAAACUGGAUUCUAAAUAUUUUUUUCCACUUAUUAGCUCUGUAGUUGGGCCUCAGUUUCCUCACCUACAAAAUAGGUUGGAGUAGAAAAUAUCCAAGGUCCAUUCUGGCUUUAAUAGUCAGGAAUUCUACGACUCACAUAGGAAACUUUUCCUAGCAGAAUCUUUUUGCUUCCUUUCAAGUACAUAUUGAGAAAUAUUAUGUGCCUGGCCCUGUGCUUGGCCCUGAGACUCAAUGAGAUAUAAGUAGAGUUCUGUGUUCAAGAAAUUUACGGUCUAGCAGGGUAACUAACAUUACAUUACAGUGUAAUAACUGCUAUUUUACAGGUAACUCUUCAGAAUUAUAAGACCUGAUAGAAGCAACAUCUAAUGAAAUGGAGGCAAAUACAUGACGAGGGAAAGAGAAGGAAAAACUUUGUAGAGGAACUGGCACCUCAACUGUCUUAAGGAAUAAAUAAGAAUUAAGACAGAGGUGAGGAGAAAAUCAUGACAGGAGGAAAUAGUAUGUGUAAAGAAACAAACAAACGAAAAAGAGAGAGAGAGAGAGAGAAAGACAAGGCCAUGCAGAAAACUGGUAGUUAAGCAUGGCUGGAGGGCAGAGGGUAUGUGUGACUGGGUAGAGACGUGGCUUCUCCCUCUUUGCUCUUCCAUGUCUCUACAGUCAGUGUCAGUCCUAUAGACUCCUUUGGUGUCAGUUACCUUUCAUUGGCUGAUGAUUGACCAGUUUUCUAUUUUUGACCCAGAACCUGCAUUUGAACUUUAGACCUAUACAUUCAGUUCUCCAGUGACAUCUCUAUAGGUCAAGAGGCACCCUAAAUUCGUGAUCUUCACCCCCAAGGAAACACCUUCUCUUGUGUUCACUAUCUUGGUAAAUGGCAUUACCAUCCACCCAGUUGCUUGUGCUGGAGAUUUGGGUUUUAUCCUUGAUACUUUUCUUCAUCCCCAGUACCUCCACAAGGGGUAUCAAAUCCAGUCAAUUUCCAAGGCCUAAUAAUUAUGCCCCUAAAUGCAUCUUUAACCCAUAUGUUUCUCUCUGUUUCAGCUGCCACCACCCUAGUUUUAUUUGGACUUCACCACUGGGGGUUCUGGAGCCAAAUCUGAUCUCUUCAUAUUCCUAUUCAAAAUCCUUUGAUGGAAACCCGCCACCAUUCUUAGGAUGAAGUCCACAUUUCUUAAAAUGUUCUAAGGCCUUGAUUGAUUUCACUUCUGUCCCCCGAUCUUCAGCCCCAUCUGGGAUCCCCUUAUUCUCUUUAAUCCAGUCAUGCUGUCUGCCAUUACAUCACUCAAACAGUAUAGCCUCGUCCUACCUCAGGGCUUUUGCAUAUCUGUUUCCUCGGUCUGGAAGGUUCUUCUUUCCUCCACCGUCCCCCAUCUGUAACUUAGCUAACUGCUAUUCAUUUCUCAGAUCUCAGUUUAAAUGCCACUGCUGCGGGAGAAUUUUUCUUGACCAUUUCCCCUCUAGAUUAAGCUAGAUUCUCUAUUCUCAUAAUAACAUUUAAAUUUUCUUUGCAUCACUAUCACAGUAAUAUUCAUUAACAGUCAUUUUGUUAUAUUUGUGAUAUCACACUAGCUUCAUUAAUAGUUAAUUAUGUAACGGUCUGUUUAAUGUCUGUUUCCCCAGCUAGACUAUGUGUUCCGUGGUGACAAGGUCGGGUAUCUUUGGUUCACUAUGGUAUCCCCAAUGUCUAACAAAUAUUUUUGAAGGUAAAAGAAGAUGAAAGGGAGGGAGGGAGAAGUCAAAAAAUAUAUAAGGCUUGAAAAAUGCCCUUUGGAUUUAGCAACUAAGAGGUCAUGGAUGACUUCAGAGAAGGCAGUUUCAGUGGCGAGGCAUGGGUAGAUGCAGAUUGAAGUGGAUUAGGAACAAAAGGGAGGUGAGAAAGUGAAGACAGUGGGUGUAAACUAAUUUCAAGAAUCUUAGUCGUGGAAAAAAAGCAAUAUGACAGUAGAUAAAGGAAAGAUGUAGGAUCAGGGGAUGUUUUGCUUUCUAAGAUGAAAGAACUGAGCUUAUUUCUAUAGUUGAAGAGAAAGCAAUAAAAUAGAUAUAUAAAGUAAUGGAGAUGAAGGAUACAGAAAAAAAAGAAAAGAAAUUAAUGAAAGAAUAUUAGAGGGUUGUAGUAGAGGCUGGGAUUUAGAGCAUAUAAGCUAAGUUCUUUAAAAGUUAAAAGUCACCUCCUCAAUGAGACAUAAAGAAGGAAAGUAAAGGUAGGCAUAUGUAUGGAUUAAAUGGAGGUGUGGGGCUGAGAAAAUAAUGUGGAUGCUGCUUGAUAACCUGGAUUUUCUCCCAGUUGUAGGAGGCACUCAGAGGAAAGGGAUGGUAGGGAAGGGACAUAAAGAGAGAGGUAAAAGCUUAAAAUCAUUGUUGAGGGGAAUAGGAGAGGGAGCUGAUCAGGAUCAGGUCAUAAGAUUGCUGAACCUUGCCAAGGGAGAUUUGUGGUGCCAACCGUCCAUAUCAUUGUGUAAUUUUCUCCAGAAGUGCUCAGCAAUUUCAGUGAGGGAGUGAGAUGCUUGGAUUCUUCUAGGUCUGAGAGUUUGCAGGGGAAGAAGAGUUUGGAAGUUAAGAAUACCUGUUGGGGAGUAUUUGAGCUAAUAAACCAUUGGGUCUAAGUUAGAUAAAGAAGGAAACGAAGACACAGAGUGGGUGACAGGCUGAGUGUAAAUUUAGGGACACAAGGUUUGGAUAUUUUCUUGGAGAAAAGAAGCUAAAGGUUCUGAGAGCUAAGAGAAUGUAGGAGAGUGUAAUGAGAGAUUGUUACAUCAGCAUUUCAGAUGGAGAGGUGGAAGUUUCCUCUUCCAUGCAGAGGGAAUAAGUAGAUCCAGAUCUGCCACAGUGAUAGAUAUCGAAAGAGGGAUCUUUACAUCAGUCCUAAAAGGCAUGACAACAUCCUCACUUUCUCUUCCCAUUUCAUUCUAGGAAUUUCUUUUCUGCUCCUUGGGCCAGAUAACUGAAAGAGGGCGAAGGAGAAAAUGGGAAUAUGAUUUAUUCAUUAGUUGUUUGUCAGUUCGAACCAAUUCACUUCAAUAAGUAGUUAAUGCGUUAAUACCAGCUACCAAGGUGUUGCUGCAUGGUAGAGAUUCGGUGUUUGCAUUUGAGAUCCAUCAUUCUGUUAACUUUGUGGAGAAUACAUUUGGCUGGGGCUGGGGAGUGAGAGUGGGCACAAGACUGGAGGCAACAACAAUUUGACUUCACCAUUUAAUAAGGCUAUAACUUAGGAGUAUUUUACCUUUUGUGUCUUAAUCCCUUCAUCUGUAUAAUCGGAAUGCUAAUAGUAUGCAUCUUGUAGGUUCAUUGGGAAAUUAUUUAUUUAUAAGGUGUUUAAAACAUACCCUACAGAUUUCACGGCUGGAGCAGAAAAAGUUAUGAGCUUGGAAUAUCUUCAGUGCCUGAAAGUGAGGAAGUGCUCCCAAAAAUAUGAAGUCAAAAGGUACACGAAGCCAGCUUGAAGAGGCUUCCAUCAAAAUAAAUAAGGAAGUAAUGGAUUGUUGUCUACUGAAUAGAACAGGAAUCUGUUUCCCACUGGCCAAAUCCAACCAGCAGCCAUGGGACCCAGAAGCUCAGUGAUAGAGUCCAUAUAGGUUGGUCUCCACCAGCAAAGAAUAGAGCAGAGAAAGGAGUUUCGCCCUUGUCGCCCAGGCUGGAGUGCAAUGGCACAAUGUCA
Macaca mulatta (Rhesus monkey) is the source of this 11798-nucleotide long non-coding RNA. RefSeq lists it as uncharacterized. The record is from RefSeq and is a predicted model, not a curated record. Lineage: Eukaryota; Metazoa; Chordata; Mammalia; Primates; Cercopithecidae.